AUUGAACGCUGGCGGCAGGCCUAACACAUGCAAGUCGAGCGGAUGAAGGGAGCUUGCUCCUGGAUUCAGCGGCGGACGGGUGAGUAAUGCCUAGGAAUCUGCUUGGUAGUGGGGGAUAACGUCCGGAAACGGGCGCUAAUACCGCAUACGUCCUGAGGGAGAAAGUGGGGGAUCUUCGGACCUCACGCUAUCAGAUGAGCCUAGGUCGGAUUAGCUAGUUGGUGGGGUAAAGGCCUACCAAGGCGGCGAUCCGUAACUGGUCUGAGAGGAUGAUCAGUCACACUGGAACUGGAACACCGUCCUUGGUACUACGGGAGGGCGCAGUGGGGAACAUUGGACAGCGGGCGAAAGCCUGAUCCAGUCGUGGCGCGUGUGAGAAGACGGUCUUCCGAGUGUAAAGCACUUUAAGUUGGGAGGAAGGGCAGUAAGUUAAUACCUUGCUGUUUUGACGUUACCAGCAGAAUAAGCACCGGCUAACUUCGUG
This 484-nucleotide ribosomal RNA is filed under the name uncultured bacterium. Its description in RNAcentral is "partial 16S ribosomal RNA". It matches the Rfam family "Bacterial small subunit ribosomal RNA", at positions 30 to 507 of the family's 1533-position model. The record is from RNAcentral.